ACAAUACUCCCUACGUCCCAAAAUUGUUGUCUUAGAUUUGUCUAGAUACGGAUGUCUCUAAUAUUAAGAUGUGACUUGAUACAUCUGUAUUUAGACAAAUCUAAGACAAGAAUUUUGGGACGGAGGGAGUAGUAC
Molecule: non-coding RNA, 135 nt
Organism: Triticum aestivum (bread wheat)
Lineage: Eukaryota; Viridiplantae; Streptophyta; Magnoliopsida; Poales; Poaceae
Source: Rfam